Molecule: long non-coding RNA, 302 nt
Filed under: Elaeis guineensis (African oil palm)
Lineage: Eukaryota; Viridiplantae; Streptophyta; Magnoliopsida; Arecales; Arecaceae
Description: long non-coding RNA (EGUI_LNC055612)
Source: RNAcentral
ACCAGAGUAAGUAUGAAUAUUUAAAAAAAAUUUUUACAAGAUUCAUAAAUAAACUCGAGUCGAGCCAAUCUAGCAUAUGAUCGAUGAUGGGGUUUGACGAGUUCUCCAUGACCUCCGUCAAGUUGGGACUCUCGAUAGAGGGAUUGUAUCACACGAUAACUGCACAUAGGGGUUCACUUUUCUGUUCUACUGGAUUACUACUACAUAUUGCUAGACAUCACUGGUGGAUUGUGAGAACUCACUAAGAUCAUUUUCGGAUCAACGAUCUUUGUUGAGGUGAGUUGGAACCAUUUCAGCCCAUC